UAUUCUGCCCCAUGGGGAAGGAUGAGAAGCUUCGACUAAGGUUCGACUCGAGCGAAGCGAGAGAACGUUGCCGUAGGCAACGGCCCGAAGGGCGAAGCGCUUUAGCGCCGAGUAAUCCUUCCCCCACCACUG
Molecule: small RNA, 132 nt
Filed under: Klebsiella pneumoniae
Lineage: Bacteria; Pseudomonadati; Pseudomonadota; Gammaproteobacteria; Enterobacterales; Enterobacteriaceae
Also listed under: 2 other names
Description: RtT sRNA
Rfam family: RtT RNA
About the family: This family represents a bacterial cis-regulatory element known as RtT RNA. The exact function of RtT is unknown although it is thought that it may be involved in changing the cellular response in relation to amino acid starvation.
Source: RNAcentral